This 854-nucleotide ribosomal RNA is filed under the name uncultured bacterium. Its description in RNAcentral is "bacterial SSU rRNA". It matches the Rfam family "Bacterial small subunit ribosomal RNA", at positions 8 to 852 of the family's 1533-position model. The record is from RNAcentral.
AGAGUUUGAUCCUGGCUCAGGAUGAACGCUGGCGGCGUGCCUAACACAUGCAAGUCGAACGGAGUUAUGAUGUGAGCGGGAAGUGCUUGCACUAAACAAUCUUUUCAUAACUUAGUGGCGGACGGGUGAGUAACGCGUGGGUAACCUGCCCUGUACUGGGGGACAACAGUUGGAAACGACUGCUAAUACCGCAUAAGCGCACGGGAUCGCAUGAUCGUGUGUGAAAAACUCCGGUGGUACAGGAUGGACCCGCGUCUGAUUAGCUGGUUGGUGAGGUAACGGCCCACCAAGGCAACGAUCAGUAGCCGGCCUGAGAGGGUGAACGGCCACAUUGGGACUGAGACACGGCCCAAACUCCUACGGGAGGCAGCAGUGGGGAAUAUUGCACAAUGGGGGAAACCCUGAUGCAGCGACGCCGCGUGAGUGAAGAAGUAUUUCGGUAUGUAAAGCUCUAUCAGCAGGGAGGAAAAUGACGGUACCUGACUAAGAAGCCCCGGCUAACUACGUGCCAGCAGCCGCGGUAAUACGUAGGGGGCAAGCGUUAUCCGGAUUUACUGGGUGUAAAGGGAGCGUAGACGGCAUGGCAAGUCUGAAGUGAAAUGCGGGGGCUCAACCCCUGAACUGCUUUGGAAACUGUCAGGCUGGAGUGCAGGAGAGGUAAGUGGAAUUCCUAGUGUAGCGGUGAAAUGCGUAGAUAUUAGGAGGAACACCAGUGGCGAAGGCGGCUUACUGGACUGUAACUGACGUUGAGGCUCGAAAGCGUGGGGAGCAAGCAGGAUUAGAUACCCUGGUAGUCCACGCCGUAAACGAUGAUUACUAGGUGUUGGGGAUUUAUAAAUCCCCGGUGCCGUCCC